Rosa rugosa (rugosa rose) is the source of this 721-nucleotide long non-coding RNA. RefSeq lists it as uncharacterized. The transcript has 4 exons. The record is from RefSeq and is a predicted model, not a curated record. NCBI's taxonomy places the organism in Eukaryota, Viridiplantae, Streptophyta, Magnoliopsida, Rosales, Rosaceae.
UCACACGUCUCUCUCCCCUACCGCUCGCAGCCUCUCAGUCCCGACUCCCUUUCUCUCUCAGACUCUGACCUCUCUCUCCAUCACGUUCCUCACCGCAUCUCGACGGUCGUCAUCUCCCUCGCAUCGUCGCGGGAAAUUGAAGCUCUCACCGAACCUCAUCGAUCUGAGCUCUCUGAUCGUCUGACCGUUUUCUCUCCUCACCCGUUUAUUCUCCUCGCCUCCUCGAGUCCUCAGUGUUCUGGACUUCUGGGCUAGUUCUCCUCCACCUCAGUACACUCGUUCCAAUCAUGAUGUCAGUAAGGGAGUAAUUUGCAUAUCUAGAAAAUGAAGAGGCAAUCUAAAUCAGCUGCUACUAGUUCGGGUGUUCAUCCGAAAUCGACUUCAUCAUCUUAGAGAUACUAAAGAUGCCAUGUGGAGCUGCAGUGGGGAGUAGUCGGAGUGGAAUGUUACCUCCAAAGUCGAAGACUUCAUCUUUCCGAGCUUGAGAUCAUGCCAUUGCCCUCCUUCAUAUGUUGAUGUUGAUUCAUUCUUUUUGUGAUGUUUAAUCUUUUAGUGAACUUAUACAUUUUAAAUUUAUGAGGUUAAUGUUGAUGUAAUGAUGGACUUUUAUAAACUUUGGAUCGACUCUAUAUUUUUUGACCAUUUCAUAUGUUGAUGCUAGAACUUGAUGGACUAUUGGACUAUAUCAAUUGAAUUAUAUGGAGUAUGGAAUUAUAGAUUA